AUGUUGGCAAAGAUCUACAUAACUGACAGGAGAAAUAGCAGAAGAUACACCAAAAAAGCAGAAGAGAUAUGGCUUCACGAAUCCCGCUGGGCCUGGUGCCUGGGUGCUGCAUCCUGGGGAGACGAGGGUAAGCGGAGGGUGGGGCUCUCUUUCUUGGGGACCUUGACCCCCCUCCCUUUCUCUCCCCUCCCGGGUUGCCGGGGGCCCAGCCACGUGCAGGCUGUGGCGGGGGAGCCACGGGGGAGAGCGCUGGGUCAGCAGCACCAGGCAGCUCCUGGCUGGCUCCCCGGGUUGGCUUUGCUCAAGGCGAGAGCUGUCAACUCUGCCCUUUUGAAAAUGAGCAACAAAGGGGAAAAGAAAGAAAAGAGAAAGGGAAGUGGGGGAGCCCAGGGUGGGAGUCGGGGGGAGGCCAGGGCUGGGAGAACAGGUGGGGACUAUUUAAACAGAAGGCCUGACUCAGCCGUUUUCUUUCACUGAGUUUCCAAAGGACUGUU
This 494-nucleotide long non-coding RNA is filed under the name Bos grunniens (domestic yak). Its description in RNAcentral is "lncRNA (ENSBGRG00000002200.1)". Lineage: Eukaryota; Metazoa; Chordata; Mammalia; Artiodactyla; Bovidae. The record is from RNAcentral.